Molecule: ribosomal RNA, 492 nt
Filed under: uncultured bacterium
Lineage: Bacteria
Description: partial 16S ribosomal RNA
Rfam family: Bacterial small subunit ribosomal RNA
Source: RNAcentral
AGUGAACGCUGGCGGUAGGCCUAACACAUGCAAGUCGAACGGCAGCACAGUAAGAGCUUGCUCUUACGGGUGGCGAGUGGCGGACGGGUGAGGAAUACAUCGGAAUCUACUUUUUCGUGGGGGACAACGUAGGGAAACUUACGCUAAUACCGCAUACGACCUACGGGUGAAAGCAGGGGAUCUUCGGACCUUGCGCGAUUGAAUGAGCCGAUGUCGGAUUAGCUAGUUGGCGGGGUAAAGGCCCACCAAGGCGACGAUCCGUAGCUGGUCUGGGAGGAUGAUCAGCCACACUGGAACUGAGACACGGUCCAGACUCCUACGGGAGGCAGCAGUGGGGAAUAUUGGACAAUGGGCGCAAGCCUGAUCCAGCCAUACCGCGUGGGUGAAGAAGGCCUUCGGGUUGUAAAGCCCUUUUGUUGGGAAAGAAAAGCAGCAGGUUAAUACCCCGCUGUUCUGACGGUACCCAAAGAAUAAGCACCGGCUAACUUCGUG